This 491-nucleotide ribosomal RNA is filed under the name Crossepoma vermiculatum domingoense. RNAcentral's name for it is "partial 16S ribosomal RNA". It matches the Rfam family "Bacterial large subunit ribosomal RNA", at positions 1814 to 2577 of the family's 2925-position model. Lineage: Eukaryota; Metazoa; Mollusca; Gastropoda; Littorinimorpha; Annulariidae. The record is from RNAcentral.
UCAAACACAUUUUUUUUUUUUAGAAUAUAUAUAAUGAGUCUGACCUGCCCGGUGAUAAGAUAAUAUUUAACGGCCGCAGUACUUUGACUGUGCGAAGGUAGCAUAAUUAUUUGCCUUAUAAUUGAAGGCUUGUAUGAAUGGUUUGACGAAAAUAAAUCUGUCUUAAUUUAAUUUUUUAAAAUUUAACUUUUAAGUGAAGAGGCUUUUAUUUUAUUGAUAGACMAGAAGACCCUGUCGAGCUUUAUUUUUUAAUUAUAAAUUUUUAUUUUUAUAUUGUUUUUAGAUUUUAGUUGGGGUGACUGAGGAACUGUAUGAGUUUCCUUAAUUAUUUAUAGAUUUAUAGAUUUUGAUCCAUGGAAAGUGAUUAGUAGAAUUAGUUACCGCAGGGAUAACAGCAUAAUCUUUUUUGAGAGUUCUUAUCGAAAAAUGGGUUUGUGACCUCGAUGUUGGAUUAAAGUGUCCUAAAGGUGCAGAAGUUUUAAGGGUUAGUC